This 260-nucleotide ribosomal RNA is filed under the name uncultured bacterium. RNAcentral's name for it is "partial 16S ribosomal RNA". It matches the Rfam family "Bacterial small subunit ribosomal RNA", at positions 1225 to 1500 of the family's 1533-position model. The record is from RNAcentral.
CUACAAUGGCCGGUACAAUGCGAAGCGAAGUAGCGAUGUGAGGCAAAUCGCACCAAAGCCGGUCCCAGUUCGGAUAAGAGGCUGAAACUCGCCUCUUUGAAGUCGGAAUCGCUAGUAAUCGCAGAUCAGCAUGUUGCGGUGAAUACGUUUCCUGGUCUUGUACACACCGCCCGUCAAACCAUGAGAGUCGCCAACACCCGAAGUCCGCUUUGCGGCCUAAGGUGGGGGAGAUGAUUGGGGUUAAGUCGUAACAAGGUACC